GUGGGGAAUCUUGCGCAAUGGGCGAAAGCCUGACGCAGCCAUGCCGCGUGAAUGAUGAAGGUCUUAGGAUUGUAAAAUUCUUUCACCGGGGACGAUAAUGACGGUACCCGGAGAAGAAGCUCCGGCUAACUUCGUGCCAGCAGCCGCGGUAAUACGAAGGGGGCUAGCGUUGCUCGGAAUUACUGGGCGUAAAGGGCGCGUAGGCGGACAGCUUAGUCAGAGGUGAAAGCCCAGGGCUCAACCUUGGAAUUGCCUUUGAUACUGGCUGUCUUGAGUUUGGGAGAGGUGAGUGGAACUCCGAGUGUAGAGGUGAAAUUCGUAGAUAUGCGGAAGAACACCAGUGGCGAAGGCGACUCACUGGCCCAAUACUGACGCUGAGGCGCGAAAGCGUGGGGAGCAAACAGGAUUAGAUACCCUGGUAGUCC
This 425-nucleotide ribosomal RNA is filed under the name uncultured bacterium. RNAcentral describes it as "partial 16S ribosomal RNA". It matches the Rfam family "Bacterial small subunit ribosomal RNA", at positions 354 to 796 of the family's 1533-position model. The record is from RNAcentral.